RNAcentral lists this microRNA (23 nucleotides) under Mus musculus (house mouse). RNAcentral describes it as "mmu-miR-3104-3p". The record is from miRBase by way of RNAcentral. Lineage: Eukaryota; Metazoa; Chordata; Mammalia; Rodentia; Muridae.
ACGCUCUGCUUUGCUCCCCCAGA